RNAcentral lists this ribosomal RNA (485 nucleotides) under uncultured bacterium. RNAcentral's name for it is "SSU rRNA". It matches the Rfam family "Bacterial small subunit ribosomal RNA", at positions 26 to 521 of the family's 1533-position model. The record is from RNAcentral.
AGGAUAAACGCUGGCGGCGUGCCUAACACAUGCAAGUCGAACGCGCUUGCUAUCCGCGAGGACGGUGAGCGAGUGGCGGACGGGUGAGGAACACGUGGGUGACCUACCUUUCAGUGAGGGAUACCGGCGAGAAAUUGCCGACAAGACCGCAUACGCUUCUCUUUUCAAGGGGAGAAGGAAAGCUUUUCGCAAGAGAGGCGCUGGGAGAUGGGCCUGCGGCCGAUUAGCUAGCUGGUGGGGUAAUGGCCUACCAGGGCGACGAUCGGUAGCUGGUCUGAGAGGACGAUCAGCCACACUGGGAUUGAGAACGGCCCAGACUCCUACGGGGGGCAGCAGUGAGGAAUUUUCGGCAAUGGGGGCAACCCGUGACCGAGCAACGCCGCGUGCAGGACGACGGCCUUCGGGUUGUAAACUGCUUUUCUCUGGGACGAGCAAGGACGGUACCAGAGGAAGAGCCCGGCUAACUACGCGCCAGCAGCCGCGGU